UCAUCAGGUGGGAUAGUUUUUACCUGUUCCUCCUUUUGGAGGUUAGAUUCGAAUAUAAUGAUUGAAGUUCAUAUGGUUCGUGAUUAAUGUCUCUGCAUAAUCAGACUUGCAACACCGUGAUUGCCCCUGAU
Small nucleolar RNA from Macaca mulatta (Rhesus monkey), 131 nucleotides. Its record names the gene U8. It matches the Rfam family "U8 small nucleolar RNA". From Rfam's summary of the family: U8 is a member of the C/D class of snoRNA which contain the C (UGAUGA) and D (CUGA) box motifs. The record is from Ensembl. NCBI's taxonomy places the organism in Eukaryota, Metazoa, Chordata, Mammalia, Primates, Cercopithecidae.